Molecule: ribosomal RNA, 257 nt
Filed under: uncultured bacterium
Lineage: Bacteria
Description: partial 16S ribosomal RNA
Rfam family: Bacterial small subunit ribosomal RNA
Source: RNAcentral
UACAGAGGGUGCAAGCGUUAAUCGGAAUUACUGGGCGUAAAGCGUGCGCAGGCGGUUUUGUAAGUUUGUCGUGAAAUCCCCGGGCUCAACCUGGGAAUUGCGAUGAAGACUGCAAGGCUAGAAUCUGGCAGAGGGGGGUAGAAUUCCACGUGUGAGCAGUGAAAUGCGUAGAGAUGUGGAGGAACACCGAUGGCGAAGGCAGCCCCCUGGGUCAAGAUUGACGCUCAUGCACGAAAGCGUGGGGAGCAAACGAGGAU